RNAcentral lists this ribosomal RNA (459 nucleotides) under uncultured bacterium. RNAcentral's name for it is "partial 16S ribosomal RNA". It matches the Rfam family "Bacterial small subunit ribosomal RNA", at positions 338 to 795 of the family's 1533-position model. The record is from RNAcentral.
CCUACGGGGCGCAGCAGUGAGGAAUAUUGGUCAAUGGGCGGGAGCCUGAACCAGCCAAGCCGCGUGAAGGAAGAAGGCGCCAAGCGUCGUAAACUUCUUUUGUCGGGGAACAAAGGGCGCCACGUGUGGCGUUGUGAGUGUACCCGAAGAAAAAGCAUCGGCUAACUCCGUGCCAGCAGCCGCGGUAAUACGGAGGAUGCGAGCGUUAUCCGGAUUUAUUGGGUUUAAAGGGUGCGUAGGCGGAAUAUCAAGUCAGCGGUAAAAAUUCGGGGCUCAACCCCGUCGUGCCGUUGAAACUGAUGUUCUUGAGUGGGCGAGAAGUAUGCGGAAUGCGUGGUGUAGCGGUGAAAUGCAUAGAUAUCACGCAGAACUCCGAUUGCGAAGGCAGCAUACCGGCGCCCAACUGACGCUGAAGCACGAAAGCGUGGGUAUCGAACAGGAUUAGAUACCCUAGUAGUC